GACGAACGCUGGCGGCGUGCUUAACACAUGCAAGUCGAACGGAAAGGCCCCUUUGGGGGUACUCGAGUGGCGAACGGGUGAGUAACACGUGAGUAACCUGCCCUUGACUUCGGGAUAACUUCAGGAAACUGGGGCUAAUACCGGAUAGGAAUCCUUGCUGCAUGGUGGGGGUUGGAAAGCUUCGGCGGUUUUGGAUGGACUCGCGGCUUAUCAGCUUGUUGGUGGGGUAGUGGCUUACCAAGGCUUUGACGGGUAGCCGGCCUGAGAGGGCGACCGGCCACAUUGGGACUGGGAUACGGCCCAGACUCCUACGGGGGGCAGCAGGGGGGAAUAUUGCACAAUGGGCGGAAGCCUGAUGCAGCAACGCCGCGUGCGGGAUGACGGCCUUCGGGUUGUAAACCGCUUUCAGCAGGGGCGAAGCUUGUGGUGACGGUACCUGCAGAAGAAGCACCGGCUAACUACGUG
Molecule: ribosomal RNA, 465 nt
Filed under: uncultured bacterium
Lineage: Bacteria
Description: partial 16S ribosomal RNA
Rfam family: Bacterial small subunit ribosomal RNA
Source: RNAcentral